This 497-nucleotide ribosomal RNA is filed under the name uncultured bacterium. Its description in RNAcentral is "partial 16S ribosomal RNA". It matches the Rfam family "Bacterial small subunit ribosomal RNA", at positions 28 to 507 of the family's 1533-position model. The record is from RNAcentral.
GACGAACGCUGGCGGCGUGCCUAAUACAUGCAAGUAGAACGCUGAAGCGAGGAGCUUGCUCUUCUUGGAUGAGUUGCGAACGGGUGAGUAACGCGGAGGUAACCUGCCUGGGAGCGGGGGAUAACUAUUGGAAACGAGAGAGAAGACCGCAUAAAAGGGAGUAUCGCAUGAUAAUCCAUGGAAAGGGGCAAAGGCAUAAAUACCAGAGGGAGAGGCGGGGUAUUAGCGAGUUGGUGGGUGAACGGCUCACCAAGGCGACGAUACAUAGCCGACCUGAGAGGGUGAUCGGCCCACCUGGGCCGUAGACACGGCCCCGCCUCCUACGGGCGGCAGCAGUAGGGACUCUUCGGCAAUGGACGGAAGUCUGACCGAGCAACGCCGCGUGAGUGAAGAAGGUUUUCGGAUCGUAAAGCUCUGUUGUAAGAGAAGACCGAGUGUUAGAGUGGAAAGUUCACACUGUGACGGUAUCUUACCAGAAAGGGACGGCUAACUACGUG